UCACUUACCUGGAUGGGGUCAAUGGGUGAUCAAGAAGGCCUAUGGCCUAGGUGAGUGACCUCCAUUGCACUUUGGAGGGGUGCUCGCCUAAGGUCUACCCAAGUGGUGGAGCCUACAUCAUAAUUUGUGACAGGGGGGCUUGCGUUCGCGCAGUCCCCAC
This 160-nucleotide small nuclear RNA is filed under the name Daucus carota subsp. sativus. RNAcentral's name for it is "sRNA DCAR_sn00106". It matches the Rfam family "U1 spliceosomal RNA". Rfam says of the family: U1 is a small nuclear RNA (snRNA) component of the spliceosome (involved in pre-mRNA splicing). Its 5' end forms complementary base pairs with the 5' splice junction, thus defining the 5' donor site of an intron. There are significant differences in sequence and secondary structure between metazoan and yeast U1 snRNAs, the latter being much longer (568 nucleotides as compared to 164 nucleotides in human). Lineage: Eukaryota; Viridiplantae; Streptophyta; Magnoliopsida; Apiales; Apiaceae. The record is from RNAcentral.